Molecule: ribosomal RNA, 465 nt
Filed under: uncultured bacterium
Lineage: Bacteria
Description: partial 16S ribosomal RNA
Rfam family: Bacterial small subunit ribosomal RNA
Source: RNAcentral
UCUACGGGAGGCAGCAGUGGGGAAUAUUGCGCAAUGGGCGAAAGCCUGACGCAGCGACGCCGCGUGAGGGAUGAAGGUCUUCGGAUCGUAAACCUCUGUCAGCAGGGAAGAACGGUCACUGUGCUAAUCAGCAGUGAAUUGACGGUACCUGCAAAGGCAGCACCGGCUAACUCCGUGCCAGCAGCCGCGGUAAUACGGAGGGUGCGAGCGUUAAUCGGAAUUACUGGGCGUAAAGCGCUCGUAGGCGGUAUGUCAAGUCAAGGGUGAAAUCCCCGCGCUCAACGUGGGAACGGCCUUUGAAACUGGCAAACUGGAGUGUGUGAGAGGAUAGUGGAAUUCCAGGUGUAGGAGUGAAAUCCGUAGAUAUCUGGAGGAACAUCAGUAGCGAAGGCGACUAUCUGGCACAUAACUGACGCUGAGGAGCGAAAGCGUGGGUAGCAAACAGGAUUAGAUACCCGAGUAGUC